Molecule: ribosomal RNA, 468 nt
Filed under: uncultured bacterium
Lineage: Bacteria
Description: partial 16S ribosomal RNA
Rfam family: Bacterial small subunit ribosomal RNA
Source: RNAcentral
GACGAACGCUGGCGGCGUGCUUAACACAUGCAAGUCGAACGGAAAGGCCCUGCUUUUGUGGGGUGCUCGAGUGGCGAACGGGUGAGUAACACGUGAGUAACCUGCCCUUGACUUUGGGAUAACUUCAGGAAACUGGGGCUAAUACCGGAUAGGAGCUCCUGCUGCAUGGUGGUGGUUGGAAAGUUUCGGCGGUUGGGGAUGGACUCGCGGCUUAUCAGCUUGUUGGUGGGGUAGUGGCUUACCAAGGCUUUGACGGGUAGCCGGCCUGAGAGGGUGACCGGCCACAUUGGGACUGAGAUACGGCCCAGACUCCUACGGGAGGCGGCAGUGGGGAAUAUUGCACAAUGGGCGGAAGCCUGAUGCAGCAACGCCGCGUGCGGGAUGACGGCCUUCGGGUUGUAAACCGCUUUCGCCUGUGACGAAGCGUGAGUGACGGUAAUGGGUAAAGAAGCACCGGCUAACUACGUG